This is a long non-coding RNA of Acinonyx jubatus (cheetah), 485 nucleotides long. RefSeq lists it as uncharacterized. NCBI's taxonomy places the organism in Eukaryota, Metazoa, Chordata, Mammalia, Carnivora, Felidae. The record is from RefSeq and is a predicted model, not a curated record. The transcript has 3 exons.
GGUCUGAAUGCCUGUGUCUCUCCCUGCCCUCCCCCCAGAUUCAUAUGUUGAAGCCUAGUGCCCAAAGCGAUGGCUUUAGGAGGUGGGCCUUUGGGAGGGGAUUAGGUCAUGAGGGAGGAGCCUUCAUAAAAGAGGCCCCAGAGAGCUCCCUCUCUCCUUCCAGCCUGUGAAGACACAGCAAGAAGUGAGCUGUUGGUGAACCAGAAAGAGGGCUCCCACCAGGCAUCAAAUCUGCCGGUGCCUUGAUCUGAAUCUUUCCAGCCAGCCUUCAGAACUGAAACGUGCACCAGGCCUGACAGAACAAAGGCCAAGUGGCUUCUGGAGGUUCAGCGAUCCUUCUCAGCUUACCUGAGGAGCCGAAUGAAUGAGCUGUGCUCCAGGCCUGGCUUACAGAGAAGAGCCCAGCAUUAAGGACACGAGAGAGCCAUAUUUAUUUCACAUGGACAAGCAUGAUUCCUUCGCAUGCUGAACAUGAAAGCUCGCGU